UACGUAGGGUGCAAGCGUUAAUCGGAAUUACUGGGCGUAAAGCGUGCGCAGGCGGCUUUGCAAGACAGAUGUGAAAUCCCCGGGCUUAACCUGGGAACUGCAUUUGUGACUGCAUGGCUGGAGUGCGGCAGAGGGGGAUGGAAUUCCGCGUGUAGCAGUGAAAUGCGUAGAUAUGCGGAGGAACACCGAUGGCGAAGGCAAUCCCCUGGGCCUGCACUGACGCUCAUGCACGAAAGCGUGUGGAGCAAACAGG
RNAcentral lists this ribosomal RNA (253 nucleotides) under uncultured bacterium. RNAcentral describes it as "partial 16S ribosomal RNA". It matches the Rfam family "Bacterial small subunit ribosomal RNA", at positions 524 to 776 of the family's 1533-position model. The record is from RNAcentral.